CGCAAUUAUCACAUCACUAGCAAACGAAGUCGGAGUCGGAUUCGGAGUCGGAGUCUCAAGUCGGAGGCGGCAGCGACGCGAUGUCGGCUUUAGCUUUAAUUUAUGAACUGCGGCAAGUGGAUGUGGAACUUGUGGGUAGCUUGCAACCGGGUGGCCACUGAGGCGCAUAGCAUUGGGGAAUCUUUCGCAGAAGACGUAGAAGAAGUGUUUUCACUUUACUUGCAGCUCAAGGUGAGCAGCGAUUUGUAGCGGCAAAUGAGGCAGGUGUCAGUAAAUUUAGUAGAAGGCUGUCUGGCUUUGUUUGCCGUCGUUGCUGCUAAUAAAAAUGCUAAAGCAUCUAGAAGGCGGCGAGACCGAGGCACUCUCUCAACGCGUCUCUUAAUAAAUUGACAACGAUCCAAUUUCAUAAUGAAAUUUUUGCGGCUGUCAGCCUUCAAUUGAAUCGGAAAAACAAAACAGCGACCAAAAGUGAUACGUUGAAUUUGGGUGGGGAGAAGCGGGAGGGGAAUGCCAUGAAGAAUAACAGAAAUAACGCACAGAGAGCGAGAUCCAAGAAUUCCCCCAUGAAGAAAUCCAGCUGACAGUCGUCCCCAUUUCACUCCCCGCAGUCCCCUCUGAACCAUCUACUCUGCUCGCAACCCCAACGAAACUUGCACAGAAUGUGGCAUGAUGUUUACGUAUGUAUGUAUUUGUGUGCGUUGCGAGUUGUUGUUCCUUAUAUUUUUGUGUAUGUAGUUAUAUCGAGUAAACGAAAAACAAAAACUUUUUUCCACUUGAGUAACUUAAGUGCCAAUUCCUCCAAAAACAAAACAACAACAACAAACUGAAGACCAAAAAAAAAAACAAGAGAAAGAAUUGAAGGCAGCAGAAAAACCAAGUGGAAGAAGAAAAAAACAAAAACAACAAAAUAACAGCAGAAGAUGAGCACAUGAACAUUUUUUUAAUAGGGGGACGCCGACAAAAUUCUAUUGGUUUCAAUACAAAAAUCGAUAGCACAUCAAGUUGA
Long non-coding RNA from Drosophila sulfurigaster albostrigata, 1006 nucleotides. RefSeq lists it as uncharacterized. The transcript has 2 exons. The record is from RefSeq and is a predicted model, not a curated record. NCBI's taxonomy places the organism in Eukaryota, Metazoa, Arthropoda, Insecta, Diptera, Drosophilidae.